AGAGUUUGAUCAUGGCUCAGGACGAACGCUGGCGGCGUGCUUAAUACAUGCAAGUCGAACGGAUAUUAUAGCAAUAUAAUAUUAGUGGCGGACGGGUGAGUAACGCGUAACCAACCUGCCUUUUACAGGGGAAUAACAUUUGGAAACAGGUGCUAAUACCGCAUAUGACCACAACACGGCAUCGUGAAGGGGUAAAAGUUUUAUCGGUAAAAGAGGGGGUUGCGUAUCAUUAGCUUGUUGGUGAGGUAACGGCCCACCAAGGCGACGAUGAUUAACCGGCCUGAGAGGGUAAACGGUCACACUGGAACUGAGACACGGUCCAGACUCCUACGGGAGGCAGCAGUAGGGAAUAUUGGGCAAUGGAGGCAACUCUGACCCAGCAACGCCGCGUGAAUGAAGAAGGUCUUAGGAUUGUCAAGUUCUUUUAUAGCAGGCGAAAAAAAUGACGGUAUGCUAUGAAUAAGCCACGGCUAACUACGUGCCAGCAGCCGCGGUAAUACGUAGGUGGCAAGCGUUGUCCGGAAUGACUGGGUGUAAAGGGUGUGUAGGUGGUCGCUUAAGUGUAACGUGAAAUCCCUGGGCUUAACCCAGGAACUGCAUUACAUACUGGGUGACUUGAGUGCUGAAAGGGCAAGUGGAACUCCAAGUGUAGCGGUAGAAUGCGUAGAUAUUUGGAAGAACAACAGAGGCGAAGGCGGCUUGCUGGGCAGUAACUGACACUGAAACACGAAAGCGUGGGGAUCAAACAGGAUUAGAUACCCUGGUAGUCCACGCCUUAAACGAUGAAUACUAGAUGUUGGUGGUAUCGACUCCAUCAGUAUCGUAGCUAACGCGAUAAGUAUUCCACAUGAGUAGUACGGCCGCAAGGUUGAAACUCAAAGAAAUUGACGGGGACCCGCACAAGCAGCGGAGCAUGUGGUUUAAUUCGAAGAUACGCGAAAAACCUUACCAAGGCUUGACAUCGCUUGAAUAGCCGCGAAAUCGGUGAAGUAGAAGCAAUUUUACAAGCAGACAGAUGGUGCAUGGCUGUCGUCAGCUCGUGUCGUGAGAUGUUCGGUUAAGUCCGAUAACGAGCGCAACCCUUAUCGUUAGUUGCCAUCAUUAAGUUGGGAACCCUAGCGAGGCUGCCGUAGGUAAUACGGAGGAAGGUGGGGAUGAGGUCAAGUCAUCAUGCCUCUUACGCCUUGGGCUACACACGUGCUACAAUGGCUACUACAAAGAGCUGCAAUAUAGUAAUAUGGAGCGAAUCUCAAAAAAGUAGUCUCAAUUCGGAUUGUGGGCUGCAACCCGCCCACAUGAAAUCGGAGUUGCUAGUAAUGGCGAAUCAGCAUGUCGCCGUGAAUGCGUUCCCGGGUCUUGUACACACCGCCCGCCAAGCUAUGAGAGCUGAGGGCACCCAAAACCGCUGUGCCGACCGCAAGGGAGCAGGCGUCUAAGGUGAAAUCGGCGAUUGGAGUUAAGGCGUAACAAGGUAGCUGUAGGAGAACCUGCGGCUGGAUCACCUCCUU
Molecule: ribosomal RNA, 1508 nt
Filed under: uncultured rumen bacterium
Lineage: Bacteria
Description: bacterial SSU rRNA
Rfam family: Bacterial small subunit ribosomal RNA
Source: RNAcentral